GGGGGCAGCUAGGGAGAGAGCUGGAGGCUGCCUAGCUGAAGGCUGACUCUGCCUGUUGAGGAGAGCUCCAAUAGUCCACUGUCCUCUAUGGGUGCUAACAGGGAUGUAAAUGUUAUGAUGAAACCCUCAAAAAGAGAGGAGACCAUGGGUAUUGAAAGUCAUUUUGUGGUAAGGCAGAGAACUCAGAGGACGAGAGAGGCAGGAAGUUACCACCACCAAAGGGUUAGGGAACACAGAAGAGCUGCUAGAUUCUGUGCAGGAAAACAGCAGGCAAUAUUUCCUAGUAGGAUUCCCCCAAAAGGUCAUAUCCUUCUGCCCUGUGCAGUUAGGCCCAGAGUUGGCUUUGUUCAGACCUUCUAUCCUAUCAGAGGAAAUGAACCUGGCUGCUGACCAGGAGGCAAUGGGAUCAAUCAAUAAAUCCCACAGAACGUUGAUGGGCAGCUGCUGCUCAAUCUGGUCCUCUCCUUUCUGCUAGAUGAAGCCUCCAGGAGAGAUUAGACUCCUGUACUACUAACAUACUUGCACAAUCAGCUUUACAUCUGCUCAGCUAAUGUAUCCAUGAGAUGUCAAAAUACCUGGGAGAGGAGUUCCUGGAUGAAAAAAGGGAGAGGGAGACACUUCAGAGCUAACCACCACCCUGACCAGGCCCAUCACUGAAGGCAUCAACCCUUUGGCUGUCAAAAUAGGAUCAUCAUAGGAUUUAUCACUGCUCCUUUGGAACCAGGCAGAGACAGUAAUAAGGAACAGCUUCGUCCACCCCUGGCUGGCUAAGAGACUGCACACUUUCCAGACAGGGGCAAGCAACCAUAAUCCAAAGAAUUAUAGUUUCCUAUGGAGUCCAGGGGCGAAGGGGGUGGGGUGGAAAAAGAUUAGAAAGGAUAACUUUAAAAUCUCAAGAGUAUAAGCAGCUAAACUAAACAACAAGAGCUUGGUUUUUAUGCUACCUUAAAUCCAGUAUUGUGGCACUUCAAUAGUACAGCAAUUAGCACUCUCUAAAUAGACUGAGCCUUCAUUCAUUGCCUUCCAUAGCACUCCCAUGAUACCA
Chelonia mydas (Green sea turtle) is the source of this 1045-nucleotide long non-coding RNA. RefSeq lists it as uncharacterized. The record is from RefSeq and is a predicted model, not a curated record. Lineage: Eukaryota; Metazoa; Chordata; Testudines; Cheloniidae. The transcript has 3 exons.